AUGAAGUGCUUGAGAGGAUGUGUUUUAAGCUGGAAUGCUUCCGUGGCUCACGUCACAUCCAUAAACGCAAUUGAACAUCAGUAUCAAACUGAAAUGAGUGGAGAGGAUCUGCAAAGCUCCCUUGGUUUCUGUGGGGCAGCAUCAAGUGGACAAUCAAUCACCAAAAGAUUAAGUUGUGCUAGAGGCACAAUCACAAACAGGACAGAAGGAUGUCAGGUCUCCACAGAAGGCGUCAUCAGGCCAUCAGUGAAGAGGUGUGGGAGGAUAUUUCAGACACCUUCCUCCUACAUCCAAACGAGGACACAUUUACCCACUGCAGGAGGUGAGGAUGGAUGCACUGACGGAGACCCGUGUUACUACACUCUUCACAAGUACCAUGCUCACCUUUCUAAAUUGUUUAGAAGCUGUUUUAUAGCCUUCACAUCAGCACAAGUUCCUGAUGUACUCAUUUCAUAAUCUAUAAUUGCUCCUAAUAUAGCACUGUUGGGGAUAUCAUUGUCUUAUCAACUGGUACCAACCAGGAAAAGGCUUUGGAUCAUGUAUUUUAGUCUCCUGAACACCUUGCCUAAGCUAAGUGGAGGACUUUUCCUAGUGUACGACCGUGAUGUGGUACAUUUGAUUUGUUGAUUCGGUUUUGAUGAAGUUGUGGAAAUCUCCUUUGAUGUUGGUUGUGUAAGUGAUGGAUACGACGAGCUGUUCAAAAUGAAGCGUUAAGGACUGAGGUUUGUAUUGAUUAGGAAGAUCAGAAUGAAAAGAUGUGCUGGAGUGUUCAUUUUUUCCUACUCAAAAGGAAUGCAGCAGGGUGUAAUUAUUUCAGCAUAUCCAGGCAGCUGUUGGUAUUUUGCUGUUUUUCUGUUUUUGUUACAGUUCCCUGGCCAAUGUGUUGGCAUAGCAAAAGGAAUCAUCUUUGGAGCUGGCACAGCAAAGGCAUGUGAGCAACCUGAUGCAGCUGAGUUUGGUGCAUCCCUGUUGCUUCAUGUGGACCAGGAAUUUAUCCCAGUACAUAGAAAGUGGCUGACACUGAGACUUCGGAUAUUGGGGUUUUUUAGCAUUGCUUGCACAUGGCUUAGUGGGGACAUCCUGCUUAACAACAGACUGCAACAUAAAAACUUGAAGCCUAUUUGUAACCUAAAGCAGAGGCACUAAAAUGAAGCCAGCUCAGCCCAGCCUUACUGGAAAUGACCUGCUGUACUCAUUGUUUCAAGUCUCAAUGUGAAGAGUGUUGAAUACAAGGUUUUUUUUCCCAAACUCUUCGUGUCAUCCUAAGGAAAAAAAAGCUUAGAAGGGGGGAAAUGCCUGCAGGAAGUCUCAGAUUGUUAUUUAGAUUUUGGGGAUCAGUCUUUGUGUAAUAAUUUCUCUGAAUGGGAAUAAGAGAUUUCCCUAUGCGACGUCUUACAUCAGACCAUCUUGGGGGAUUUUGUGAGCCUCCAUCACGCUCAUCUAACGGAGGUGCAUG
RNAcentral lists this long non-coding RNA (1456 nucleotides) under Numida meleagris (helmeted guineafowl). RNAcentral describes it as "lncRNA (ENSNMEG00000017191.1)". The record is from RNAcentral. Lineage: Eukaryota; Metazoa; Chordata; Aves; Galliformes; Numididae.